Long non-coding RNA from Eleginops maclovinus (Patagonian blennie), 175 nucleotides. RefSeq lists it as uncharacterized. Lineage: Eukaryota; Metazoa; Chordata; Actinopteri; Perciformes; Eleginopidae. The record is from RefSeq and is a predicted model, not a curated record. The transcript is spliced from 3 exons.
UUGUAGUUCAAACAUUGUUCAUUCACUCCGCCUCGAGUUGAGACGUUCGUCCACUCAUUCAUAGCGACUCCUGACUCGCUGCACACCAACUGGACCACACAGCCGUAACAGAUGAAGCCGUCGCUCAGCACGAAGUCGCCGUGCGUCUCUUGUAUCAGGGUUGGGAGGAGCUACC